GUGGGGAAUUUUGGACAAUGGGCGCAAGCCUGAUCCAGCAAUGCCGCGUGCAGGAAGAAGGCCUUCGGGUUGUAAACUGCUUUUGUACGGAACGAAACGGUCCUGGUUAAUACCCGGGGCUAAUGACGGUACCGUAAGAAUAAGCACCGGCUAACUACGUGCCAGCAGCCGCGGUAAUACGUAGGGUGCAAGCGUUAAUCGGAAUUACUGGGCGUAAAGCGUGCGCAGGCGGUGCUGUAAGACAGGCGUGAAAUCCCCGGGCUUAACCUGGGAAUUGCGCUUGUGACUGCAGUGCUGAAGUGCGGCAGAGGGGGAUGGAAUUCCGCGUGUAGCAGUGAAAUGCGUAGAUAUGCGGAGGAACACCGAUGGCGAAGGCAAUCCCCUGGGCCUGCACUGACGCUCAUGCACGAAAGCGUGGGGAGCAAACAGGAUUAGAAACCCGGGUAGUCC
RNAcentral lists this ribosomal RNA (450 nucleotides) under uncultured bacterium. RNAcentral's name for it is "bacterial SSU rRNA". It matches the Rfam family "Bacterial small subunit ribosomal RNA", at positions 354 to 796 of the family's 1533-position model. The record is from RNAcentral.